CCCUAUGGGGUGCAGCAGGCAAAUGAUUCCCGCGGCGGAGAGAUAGCUGUCGGCGAUUUUCUGGAUGAAGGCAUCGUCCAGCUUGUCGUAUCCGGGCGCUCCUUUUGCUCUCUUGAGCUCGGUUUUCAGCGAUCUUUUCAGCGCUUCCAGGGCGGCAUCAAUGUUUUUAAUCUCUUCCUGCGUCAAUUUCAUAAUUAUUCUCCUUGGUUGUUUAUAAAUGACCCCUUCGGGAACGACCCCUGCAUAUUUCACCUUACGGCGAUUGUUUAUAAUUGAUUACGGCUAUAAGUUUUAGCUUCUAAUAAUGAUAUGUAGACAUCUACUAUCAGAUGAGGGGCAAAAGAUCAAUGAGAUUAUUGUUAUGAGAAGGCCUUUCGGAAUUGGCGGGAGAGC
This 393-nucleotide ribosomal RNA is filed under the name uncultured prokaryote. RNAcentral's name for it is "partial 16S ribosomal RNA". The record is from RNAcentral.